AUGUGGGAAGUGGACAGGGUGGGGGCUGCGUCACCCAGAGCAGCUUCAGGGAGAGGAGGAGACCCCAUGUGCCCCGAAGGGAGUAGGACAGCUGUCGGUGCAGGGACGGGGCGGCGAAGGGCCCUGACAGGGACACUGGGCAGGCUGUGCAGGGGAUCCGCCUGUGCCUCCCCCUCACAUAGAGAAGUAGCAGCACCUACUGUGUGCGGCCAGGGCAGGGACAGGACAGACCCUGUGCCUGGCACCUCCAGUGCAGAGGGAGGACCCAGACAGACAAGGGAGGUGGGAGGGGGGUCAGCUCCCCGGAGGCAGGCCGGGGCGCUCACACCAUGGAUGGAGGGCUCCCCCCUGUGGGGACAUCCAGCCCCGCCUGCUGCCCAGGCCUGCCCCUGCCUGGGUGGCCUUGGGGGUGGCUGGGGUGGGCCCGGGGUCGGGCUGGACCAUCCCCAGGGGCUCAGGGGUCUGCGUGGGAGGGAGGGCCAGGCCCCUGAGCUGCUGUCUGCCCUCCUGCCUUCAGGGCACCUGGCGGGACCGGUCCUCGGAGGACCUCUGUCAGCCCUCAGACACGUGUGUGUCCGACCUGGGAGCAGGAGGUCGGGGCGCAGGACAGUGGAGAGGGCCAGGCGGGCUGCGAUGCCUCCAGGGGGGCUUCCAGGCACUGUCUCUGCAGAGCGCCACACAGGAGAUGGGCAGGGGGCUGGGCAGCGGACACCUGCUCCAGCUUCUGGAGGGAGGGCAGGGGCACCACCCCGCCAGUGCAGGCCAGUAGAGGCUCAGGAUGGGUGCAGCCAAGGAAGGGUUUCCAGAUCCAGGGCCCGGAGAAGGCCGGGGAAGUCCUCCUGGCCAGAUGCUGCCCGGGUCACUGCCCUGCUGGUCCUGAACCUGACUCUGCUCCUAGAGGCAGAGCUCACGAGGCCGAGCCUGAGGGCACCCGCAUUCCAGAGGCAGGCCUCUACAUGCUCACUUGGUUGGAGAUCAUCUAUCCAAGAGCAUGUUUUCCUGCUGCUUCCACAUGUCUGGAUGUUGCCGAGGGAGGACUGCACGCCCUGCCAGCAGUGCCACCCACGGGGAGUGUCCUGGCAGGGCUCCCCGACGCCUCUGGCCACUUAGAAGGAAGGGUCGAAAG
Molecule: long non-coding RNA, 1126 nt
Filed under: Canis lupus familiaris (dog)
Lineage: Eukaryota; Metazoa; Chordata; Mammalia; Carnivora; Canidae
Description: lncRNA (ENSCAFG00040002085.1)
Source: RNAcentral